Molecule: ribosomal RNA, 504 nt
Filed under: uncultured bacterium
Lineage: Bacteria
Description: partial 16S ribosomal RNA
Rfam family: Bacterial small subunit ribosomal RNA
Source: RNAcentral
ACGAACGCUGGCGGCGUGCCUAAUACAUGCAAGUAGAACGCACAGUUUAUACCGUAGCUUGCUACACCCUAGACUGUGAGUUGCGAACGGGUGAGUAACGCGUAGGUAACCUGCCUGGUAGCGGGGGAUAACUAUUGGAAACGAUAGCUAAUACCGCAUAAUAUUAAUUAUUGCAUGAUAAUUAAUUGAAAGGUGCAAUUGCACCACUACCAGAUGGACCCGCGUUGUAUUAGCUAGUAGGUGAGGUAACGGCUCACCUAGGCGACGAUACAUAGCCGACCUGAGAGGGUGAUCGGCCACACUGGGACUGAGACACGGCCCAGACUCCUACGGGAGGCAGCAGUAGGGAAUCUUCGGCAAUGGACGAAAGUCUGACCGAGCAACGCCGCGUGAGUGAAGAAGGUUUUCGGAUCGUAAAGCUCUGUUGUAAGAGAAGAACGGGUGUGAGAGUGGAAAGUUCACACUGUGACGGUAUCUUACCAGAAAGGGACGGCUAACUACGUG